AUUGAACGCUGGCGGCAUGCCUUACACAUGCAAGUCGAACGGCAGCACGGUCUUCGCCCGCUUUUCGGGUUGCGGAGGGGUGAGUGGGUUAUCGGAACAUACGCAUCUGCUGGUGCUAACGUGGCGACGGAUACGCUAAUACCCCAAACGCUCUUUGGAUCAACGGGGGGAAGCGCAAGGCCUUCUGACCUUGCGCGGGCCGAUGUCCGAUUAGCUAGUUGGUGAGGUAAAGGCGCACCAAGGCGACGAUCCGUAGCUGGUCUGAGAGGACGAGCAGCCACACUGGAACUGAGACACGGUCCAGACUCCUACGGGAGGCAGCAGUGGGGAAUUUUGGACAAUGGGCGCAAGCCUGAUCCAGCAAUGCCGCGUGAGUGAAGAAGGCCUUCGGGUUGUAAAGCUCUUUUGUUAGGGAAGAAACGGUAGAGGCUAAUACCCCGUGGUUCUGACGGUACCUGAAGAAUAAGCACCGGCUAACUACGUG
This 484-nucleotide ribosomal RNA is filed under the name uncultured bacterium. Its description in RNAcentral is "partial 16S ribosomal RNA". It matches the Rfam family "Bacterial small subunit ribosomal RNA", at positions 30 to 507 of the family's 1533-position model. The record is from RNAcentral.